UAAAAAUAUAAAAAUCUUCUUCUUAAAUAGUCAUACUAAUAUACCAUCAUCCUCAUGUAGUGCAGAUUUAUAGUUGUUCAAAUCAUGUUUUGGGCUAGGUUAGGCUAAAAUGAGGAUUCAGGGUUAUACCUUGGAAUAAAUAUGAAAAUUUCUUUUAAUCAUUUCAAAAGUAGCAGGAUCACACUAAUUCAUACUGAUAUGCAAACAUUUCCAAUUCAUGUGGAUUCAUGUUUGUUUGAAGUAUGGAGCCUAGGCCUAAAACUUAUAGAUAUCCAAGAAUUCGAGAUAUUGAGAGUAAAAUAGUUAAAGAAUAAGUGAUGGGGGCUUCCAAAUCACUUUGACAUAUCCAUGGUAUUCAAGAUAUCUGUGUUCAAGAUACCGAAGUUCAACUGUAUAUUGGAAAAAAAAAAGCUUUUAAAAAUCUUCUUCUCCAGAACAGGACAGGUAUGUUAAUUAAGGCUGCACCUAGGUAUUCUGACUUUGAGAAAAUUACGUCACAAUAAGCAAUAUGAUGUGAACUUUAGUGCAAGUGAUUUGUUAAUAUUUGCAUUUCAAGAUUCAGUUGAAUAGAAACAUGCAGAAAUAAAUGAAAACAAAAUGUUGUUAAUUUUUUUUAUAUCUGUCAGGGGUUAAAUACUUUAACUGGUGACGUCAUUAACUGUUUAUUAUAUGUUUUGCCGAGUGAAAAUGUAACAAGAAUUUUGUCAAGAAAGCAUGUAAACAGAUAUGUUAAAUGAGGGUUUAGAAGCAAAUAUCUUGAAUAUUGUGUGCGAUUCAUAUGGAAUUAAAGUGUGGUGAUCUAUUUUCAUCAAUGAUUUCUUUUAAUGAAGACAAGCAGCUGUUCACAAAUUCCUGUCAGCCUUUUUCCUGUCAUUCUUGACAAGUUCAACAUAUUUAUACACUGGAUAUGUUGAAACAUAAUAUUUGCCCAGUUCAAAAGCUUGCAUUUUAUAAUACUUAGGAAGUGCUGCUAGAAUCAUGUGGUAAGCAUGGUUCAAUUAUAGUAUACAGGCAGAAUCCAUAACAAUUCUGCCAUAACUGGAAGGUAUUUUUGAAUCCUUAAUAAAAGUUUUGCAGAUUUAGAUUUUACUGACUUAUACUUAAAAAAGUCACAUAAGUAUAAGCAUCAGGGCGACUAUACUUUAUGAUAUUACAAUUUUUCGUAGCAUGUAUUACCAGUACACAAAAAAUAUAAGUAUGUGUAUGUACAUGUAAUAACCUUUUUAUCUUGAAUUCAAAUAAAAUAAAGAUAUUGAAAAUACU
Molecule: long non-coding RNA, 1263 nt
Organism: Saccostrea echinata
Lineage: Eukaryota; Metazoa; Mollusca; Bivalvia; Ostreida; Ostreidae
Exons: 2
Source: RefSeq, a predicted model, not a curated record